Molecule: ribosomal RNA, 523 nt
Filed under: uncultured Glomus
Lineage: Eukaryota; Fungi; Glomeromycota; Glomeromycetes; Glomerales; Glomeraceae
Description: bacterial SSU rRNA
Rfam family: Eukaryotic small subunit ribosomal RNA
Source: RNAcentral
UUGGAGGGCAAGUCUGGUGCCAGCAGCCGCGGUAAUUCCAGCUCCAAUAGCGUAUAUUAAAGUUGCUGCAGUUAAAAGGCUCGUAGUUGAAUUCCGGGAUCAGUACGCCGGUCGUGCCUCCGGUAUGUACUGGUGUCACUGAUUCCUCCCUUCUGAAGAACCAUCAUGCCAUUCACUUGGUGUGGUGGGGAAUCAGGACUGUUACUUUGAAAAAAUUAGAGUGUUUAAAGCAGGCUCACGCUUGAAUACAUUAGCAUGGAAUAAUGAAAUAGGACGUUGAUCCUAUUUUGUUGGUUUCUAGGAUUGACGUAAUGAUUAAUAGGGAUAGUUGGGGGCAUUAGUAUUCAAUUGUCAGAGGUGAAAUUCUUGGAUUUAUUGAAGACUAACUACUGCGAAAGCAUUUGCCAAGGAUGUUUUCAUUAAUCAAGAACGAAAGUUAGGGGAUCGAAGACGAUCAGAUACUGUCGUAGUCUUAACCCUAAAAAUUCCGCGAAUAGGGAUAGGGGAGAAAUCUUUUUAGUCG